UACGGAGGGUGCAAGCGUUAUCCGGAUUUACUGGGUUUAAAGGGUGCGCAGGCGGAUAUGUAAGUCAGUGGUGAAAUCUCCGGGCUUAACCCGGAAACUGCCGUUGAUACUAUAUAUCUUGAAUGCUGUGGAGGUAAGCAGAAUAUGUCAUGUAGCGGUGAAAUGCUUAGAGAUGACAUAGAAUACCUAUUGCGAAGGCAGCUUACUACACAAAUAUUGACACUGAGGCACGAAAGCGUGGGGAUCAAACAGG
RNAcentral lists this ribosomal RNA (253 nucleotides) under uncultured bacterium. Its description in RNAcentral is "partial 16S ribosomal RNA". It matches the Rfam family "Bacterial small subunit ribosomal RNA", at positions 524 to 776 of the family's 1533-position model. The record is from RNAcentral.